Molecule: ribosomal RNA, 61 nt
Filed under: Penicillium oxalicum
Lineage: Eukaryota; Fungi; Ascomycota; Eurotiomycetes; Eurotiales; Aspergillaceae
Description: partial 28S ribosomal RNA
Rfam family: Eukaryotic large subunit ribosomal RNA
Source: RNAcentral
GGUUGACCUCGGAUCAGGUAGGGAUACCCGCUGAACUUAGGCAUAUCAAUAAGCGGAGGAA